Paenibacillus mucilaginosus 3016 is the source of this 115-nucleotide regulatory RNA element. It matches the Rfam family "epsC RNA". The record is from Rfam. NCBI's taxonomy places the organism in Bacteria, Bacillati, Bacillota, Bacilli, Caryophanales, Paenibacillaceae.
GGGUAAUGCCUAAUGGACCCUUAUCACCUCAGGCACUCGGUCAUGCUGUGGGACGCAUUUCGGUCCUUAGACGCCAGUCGUCAGGGGUGUGAUAUGAGGUGGGGUGAAAUGCCCC